Molecule: ribosomal RNA, 441 nt
Filed under: uncultured bacterium
Lineage: Bacteria
Description: partial 16S ribosomal RNA
Rfam family: Bacterial small subunit ribosomal RNA
Source: RNAcentral
GAUGAACGCUGGCGGCGUGCCUAAUACAUGCAAGUCGAACGGGGAGUAGCAAUACUCUUAGUGGCGAACGGGUGAGUAACGCGUUGGUACCUGCCCCGAAGCGGGGGAUAACGGACCGAAAGGUCCGCUAAUACCCCAUGUGCUCGGUAACGAGUAAAGGUGAAAACCACUUUGGGAGGGGCAUGCGUCCCAUCAGCUAGUUGGUAAGGUAACGGCUUACCAAGGCGAUGACGGGUAGGGGACCUGAGAGGGUGGCCCCCCACAAUGGAACUGAAACACGGUCCAUACACCUACGGGUGGCAGCAGUAGGGAAUAUUGGUAAUGGGCGCAAGCCUGAACCAGCAACGCCGCGUGGGCGAUGACGGCCUUCGGGUUGUAAAGCACUUUUGACGGGGACGAGGAAGGACGGUACCGGUAGAAUCAGCCUCGGCUAACUACGUG